This is a microRNA precursor of Notamacropus eugenii (tammar wallaby), 87 nucleotides long. Ensembl annotates it as microRNA 145. Its record names the gene MIR145. The record is from Ensembl. Lineage: Eukaryota; Metazoa; Chordata; Mammalia; Diprotodontia; Macropodidae.
ACCUUGUCCUCAGGGUCCAGUUUUCCCAGGAAUCCCUUAGGUGCUAAGAUGGGGAUUCCUGGAAAUACUGUUCUUGAGGUCAUGGCU